Molecule: ribosomal RNA, 519 nt
Filed under: uncultured bacterium
Lineage: Bacteria
Description: partial 16S ribosomal RNA
Rfam family: Bacterial small subunit ribosomal RNA
Source: RNAcentral
ACGAACGCUGGCGGCGUGCCUAAUACAUGCAAGUCGAACGCACUCUCGUUUAGAUUGAAGGAGUUUGCUCCUGAUUGAUAAACAUUUGAGUGAGUGGCGGACGGGUGAGUAACACGUGGGUAACCUGCCCUAAAGUGGGGGAUAACAUUUGGAAACAGAUGCUAAUACCGCAUAAAACCUAACACCGCAUGGUGUAGGGUUGAAAGAUGGUUUCGGCUAUCACUUUAGGAUGGACCCGCGGUGCAUUAGUUAGUUGGUGAGGUAAAGGCUCACCAAGACCGUGAUGCAUAGCCGACCUGAGAUGGUAAUCGGCCACACUGGGACUGAGACACGGCCCAGACUCCUACGGGAGGCAGCAGUAGGGAAUCUUCCACAAUGGACGAAAGUCUGAUGGAGCAACGCCGCGUGAGUGAAGAAGGUUUUCGGAUCGUAAAACUCUGUUGUUGGAGAAGAAUGUAUCUGAUAGUAACUGAUCAGGUAGUGACGGUAUCCAACCAGAAAGCCACGGCUAACUACGUG